RNAcentral lists this ribosomal RNA (301 nucleotides) under uncultured bacterium. RNAcentral describes it as "partial 16S ribosomal RNA". It matches the Rfam family "Bacterial small subunit ribosomal RNA", at positions 509 to 807 of the family's 1533-position model. The record is from RNAcentral.
CAGCCGCCACGGGAAUACGUAGGGUGCAAGCGUUAAUCGGAAUUACUGGGCGUAAAGCGUGCGCAGGCGGUUAUAUAAGACAGAUGUGAAAUCCCCGGGCUCAACCUGGGAACUGCAUUUGUGACUGUAUAGCUAGAGUACGGCAGAGGGGGAUGGAAUUCCGCGUGUAGCAGUGAAAUGCGUAGAUAUGCGGAGGAACACCGAUGGCGAAGGCAAUCCCCUGGGCCUGUACUGACGCUCAUGCACGAAAGCGUGGGGAGCAAACAGGUUUAGAUACCCGCGUAGUCCCUGUCUCUUAUAC